AUGUAUCCCCAUACACUGCGGUUCCUGCGCGCCGCGCGCACCCGCCUGACAGCCGCUCGCUACGUUUUCUUAGCC
RNAcentral lists this small RNA (75 nucleotides) under Pseudomonas oryzihabitans. Its description in RNAcentral is "sX9 sRNA". It matches the Rfam family "Xanthomonas sRNA sX9". The record is from RNAcentral. Lineage: Bacteria; Pseudomonadati; Pseudomonadota; Gammaproteobacteria; Pseudomonadales; Pseudomonadaceae.